RNAcentral lists this non-coding RNA (128 nucleotides) under uncultured Coprococcus sp. Its description in RNAcentral is "NiCo riboswitch". It matches the Rfam family "NiCo (Nickel/Cobalt) riboswitch aptamer". The record is from RNAcentral. Lineage: Bacteria; Bacillati; Bacillota; Clostridia; Lachnospirales; Lachnospiraceae.
ACAGUACAAACUGAGCAGACCAUUGGCAUAAUCCAAGGAGUCGGGCCAUCAUGGCAGUGGAAUAUGAAUCGGAAUGAUAACUUGGUAUCAUGAGUUAUGAUCAGGAAUCAUUACAUCCACGGGACAGU